Molecule: transfer RNA, 69 nt
Filed under: Pseudomonas putida
Lineage: Bacteria; Pseudomonadati; Pseudomonadota; Gammaproteobacteria; Pseudomonadales; Pseudomonadaceae
Description: tRNA-Gln
Source: RNAcentral
AUCGUCUACCCGGGCGACAAGGCCCCGGGUUUCUGGGACCUGGUCAGUGGUUCGAUUCCGCGGGUGAUC